Molecule: ribosomal RNA, 440 nt
Filed under: uncultured bacterium
Lineage: Bacteria
Description: partial 16S ribosomal RNA
Rfam family: Bacterial small subunit ribosomal RNA
Source: RNAcentral
CCUACGGGUGGCUGCAGUGGGGAAUAUUGCACAAUGGGGGAAACCCUGAUGCAGCGACGCCGCGUGAGUGAAGAAGUAUCUCGGUACGUAAAGCUCUAUCAGCAGGGAAGAAAAUGACGGUACCUGACUAAGAAGCCCCGGCUAACGACGUGCCAGCAGCCGCGGUAAUACGUAGGGGGCAAGCGUUAUCCGGAUUUACUGGGUGUAAAGGGAGCGUAGACGGCAGCACAAGUCUGGAGUGAAAUCCCGGGGCUUAACCCCGGAACUGCUUCGGAAACUGUGCGGCUGGAGUGUAGGAGGGGUAAGUGGAAUUCCUGGUGUAGCGGUGAAAUGCGUAGAUAUUAGGAGGAACACCGGUGGCGAAGGCGGCUUACUGGACUGUAACUGACGUUGAGGCUCGAAAGCGUGGGGAGCAAACAGGAUUAGAUACCCUAGUAGUC